AUGGUUUUCAGGACCAGCAGUGUUUCGGAAUGUGAUACCACGAGCUAUAAAUCCUUCACCAGUCACCGCUAAUUAUCAUAGAAGACAAGUUUACCGAUUCAAAUGUUGUUGAAAUGGAGGUAAAUGACCUUAUAAACAGUCAACACAAAGAGAGGGAGAGGGACUUACCAACAGUAGCAGAAUGGAAAGUGGUGGAGCCUCCUCUAACACUUCGACUACCAGUAAUGAUGCUGCCUCUAGAGCCGCUCCAACUGUCCUAUGGUCACCGGAUCCGUCCUGAGCCACGACAAGGUCUGUCUUUACUGAAGAUGACUGCAGUAGCC
Molecule: non-coding RNA, 323 nt
Organism: Momordica charantia (bitter melon)
Lineage: Eukaryota; Viridiplantae; Streptophyta; Magnoliopsida; Cucurbitales; Cucurbitaceae
Source: RefSeq, a predicted model, not a curated record